This 253-nucleotide ribosomal RNA is filed under the name uncultured bacterium. Its description in RNAcentral is "partial 16S ribosomal RNA". It matches the Rfam family "Bacterial small subunit ribosomal RNA", at positions 524 to 776 of the family's 1533-position model. The record is from RNAcentral.
UACAGAGGUCCCAAGCGUUGUUCGGAAUUACUGGGCGUAAAGGGCUCGUAGGCGGCCAACUAAGUCAGACGUGAAAUCCCUCGGCUUAACCGGGGAACUGCAUCUGAUACUGGAUGGCUUGAGAUUGGGAGAGGGAUGCGGAAUUCCAGGUGUAGCGGUGAAAUGCGUAGAUAUCUGGAGGAACACCGGUGGCGAAGGCGGCAUCCUGGACCAACACUGACGCUGAGGAGCGAAAGCCAGGGGAGCAAACGGG